RNAcentral lists this ribosomal RNA (735 nucleotides) under uncultured Staphylococcus sp. RNAcentral describes it as "bacterial SSU rRNA". It matches the Rfam family "Bacterial small subunit ribosomal RNA", at positions 64 to 781 of the family's 1533-position model. Lineage: Bacteria; Bacillati; Bacillota; Bacilli; Caryophanales; Staphylococcaceae. The record is from RNAcentral.
GAGCGAACAGACGAGGAGCUUGCUCCUCUGACGUUAGCGGCGGACGGGUGAGUAACACGUGGAUAACCUACCUAUAAGACUGGGAUAACUUCGGGAAACCGGAGCUAAUACCGGAUAAUAUAUUGAACCGCAUGGUUCAAUAGUGAAAGACGGUUUUGCUGUCACCUAUAGAUGGAUCCGCGCCGCAUUAGCUAGUUGGUAAGGUAACGGCUUACCAAGGCAACGAUGCGUAGCCGACCUGAGAGGGUGAUCGGCCACACUGGAACUGAGACACGGUCCAGACUCCUACGGGAGGCAGCAGUAGGGAAUCUUCCGCAAUGGGCGAAAGCCUGACGGAGCAACGCCGCGUGAGUGAUGAAGGUCUUCGGAUCGUAAAACUCUGUUAUUAGGGAAGAACAAAUGUGUAAGUAACUAUGCACGUCUUGACGGUACCUAAUCAGAAAGCCACGGCUAACUACGUGCCAGCAGCCGCGGUAAUACGUAGGUGGCAAGCGUUAUCCGGAAUUAUUGGGCGUAAAGCGCGCGUAGGCGGUUUUUUAAGUCUGAUGUGAAAGCCCACGGCUCAACCGUGGAGGGUCAUUGGAAACUGGAAAACUUGAGUGCAGAAGAGGAAAGUGGAAUUCCAUGUGUAGCGGUGAAAUGCGCAGAGAUAUGGAGGAACACCAGUGGCGAAGGCGACUUUCUGGUCUGUAACUGACGCUGAUGUGCGAAAGCGUGGGGAUCAAACAGGAUUAG